RNAcentral lists this ribosomal RNA (204 nucleotides) under uncultured bacterium. Its description in RNAcentral is "partial 16S ribosomal RNA". The record is from RNAcentral.
UACGAGGGGGGGCAAGCGUUAUUCGAAAUGAUUGGGCGUAAAGGGCAUCUAGGCGGUUUAUUUUAGUUAUUUUCUUAAAUUUAAAAAAAGAAAAAAAAUAAACCAGAGCUUAACUGUGGUGAUUAAAUAAGUUAAAGUAAACUAAGAGUAAGUCAGAGGAAAAUGGAAUUUCUGGAAGGAGAUGGUAAAAUUUGUAGAGUUUAA